AUUGAACGCUGGCGGCAGGCCUAACACAUGCAAGUCGAACGGUAACAGGAAGCAGCUUGCUGCUUUGCUGACGAGUGGCGGACGGGUGAGUAAUGUCUGGGAAACUGCCCGAUGGAGGGGGAUAACUACUGGAAACGGUAGCUAAUACCGCAUAACGUCGCAAGACCAAAGAGGGGGACCUUAGGGCCUCUUGCCAUCGGAUGUGCCCAGAUGUGAUUAGCUAGUAGGUGGGGUAACGGCUCACCUAGGCGACGAUCCCUAGCUGGUCUGAGAGGAUGACCAGCCACACUGGAACUGAGACACGGUCCAGACUCCUACGGGAGGCAGCAGUGGGGAAUAUUGCACAAUGGGCGCAAGCCUGAUGCAGCCAUGCCGCGUGUAUGAAGAAGGCCUUCGGGUUGUAAAGUACUUUCAGCGGGGAGGAAGGGAGUAAAGUUAAUACCUUUGCUCAUUGACGUUACCCGCAGAAGAAGCACCGGCUAACUCCGUG
Molecule: ribosomal RNA, 490 nt
Filed under: uncultured bacterium
Lineage: Bacteria
Description: partial 16S ribosomal RNA
Rfam family: Bacterial small subunit ribosomal RNA
Source: RNAcentral